Molecule: unclassified non-coding RNA, 416 nt
Filed under: soil metagenome
Description: partial contains 5.8S ribosomal RNA, internal transcribed spacer 2, and large subunit ribosomal RNA
Rfam family: 5.8S ribosomal RNA (bases 1-120)
Source: RNAcentral
GAUGAAGAACGUAGCGAAAUGCGAUAAGUAAUGUGAAUUGCAGAAUUCAGUGAAUCAUCGAAUCUUUGAACGCACCUUGCACUCCUUGGUAUUCCGAGGAGUACGCCUGUUCGAGUGUUAUGAAGCUCUCAAAACGCAAUUGGCUUAAAACCUGAUUGUUGUUUUGGAUUUGAACUUUGCCGUGUUAUAACGGCUGGUUUUAAAAGUAUUAGCUGGUACUAGAACGAAUUGGUUCUACUCAACGUGAUAAUUAUCUGAUCGUUGAGGACAUUCCUUUCACGAGGAAUGGCCAUAGUAAAUUCAAUGGACUGCUUCUAAUCUGGCUUUAAUUCUUUAUUGGAUUAACCACUUUUCAAAUCUGACCUCGAAUCAGGUGGGACUACCCGCUGAACUUAAGCAUAUCAACACGCGGAGGA